CGGAGUGAAGGCUUCAUCAGAUGAACUGCUAAGGAAAUUUGCGGAAAUGGGUUCGGGAUCCAAAGACAAGGCCACCGCGAAGAAAGAGCUUUCGCAGUUGGCAAAACGACGCCGCUACCACCGGGAAAAAAUCACCGGAGAAAAUGACGAUGAUGAUGAGCAGUACUGUGAGAGCCCCUCCACCUCCUCCUUAAGCCGCCGGGCCAGUUUGGUUGAGAGGAAAUCGCUUCUUCCUGCUGUGGCGGCAUCCACCCCACCCGGAUGUCGUCUGCGCUGAUUCAGCGGCUGGGGUUGAGGGAUUUCAAGAACAUGUCCAUUUUCGCCACAAUUGACAAGCAAAAUCAUAGAAGAAAUAAUAAUACAUAUUGGGAGCAACUAGAAUGGAAAGAACCCUCCUUGUGUGACUGCUUAGCAAAUUGGGAGCAACUUUUGUCAUAAGAGACAACAAAUCAAGUUUGGGGAACCUGGAGCGGAUGCUUGCCGGAAUUGAUUGGAACUUUAAUAGCUAUGGAGAUUUUGGAAGUCGAGAGAGUUCCUAGGUUUCCUCACUCUAUGAUUCUUGAAGGUGGAGCCAUUCACGUAGAUGGAGAAGGAACCCUCAUUUGACUAAAGAGCUAGUUGAGGAUGAACUUAAAGCAUAUCUUGGAGUCAAGAAGAUUAUUUGGUUGCCUUAUGGAUUAUUUGGUCACGGAAGAGACUGCUGGGGUUGUGGAGCGUUGGUUUGAGUCUGAAAGGGCUGCAGAGGUUGGGGAGGUGAAUUGGGAUGUGGGUAAGGUGAGGGAAGAGGUUGUGAACGGAGGAGGGGGUGGCAUGGACAAGGGUGGCUCGGAAAUGGGAAUUGAAGAGUUACGAGGAUGCAAAUGGAUGAAAUGGGUGUGUGCCUAUCGUGUGGAGAGAAGCUUGUUAGCAUUGAUAUUGAUCCUAAAGAGACUGAAAACUUCACUGCUUCAUUGACCAAUUUGGUACGCCAAAGAGAGGUUGAGGCUGAUUUUAUGCAGUUUCAGGGGUGGGGUUUGAGACAGCAGUCUGCUACUAAUGGCUGCCAAGGUACUGCUAGGCCUGAGAGACUUGUUUGAAAAUGAUCAAUGUACUUGUAAUUGUAUUGUUGAAAAUGUAUUCAAUGUCUUAGUCAAAGGCCCAUAUUUGCUGCUUGUGUAUGGUUCAAGCGAUUAAUACGUAAAAAGAAUGGCAUUCUGACUAACUUAGAAGGUGCACUCAUUCAGGAGUGGCUUCAGUGACAUGAUCCAUUUGAUGCAGUUAUAGAUGGUGCAAAUGUGGGGCUUAUUAAUAGGCAUAAUUUCAACUUUUCCCAGCUUAAUUCUAUUGUAAAUCAGUUACAUCAAAUGAGGCCGUCAAAGAGAUUACUACUUCUUGUUUUGCAUAAAAGUCAUGUUACUGGUGGUCCAGCGCAGAGUCAUAACAACAAGAAGCUGUUAGAGAAUUGGAAAAGGUCUGGUGCACUUUAUGCUACUCCUGCCGGUUCAAAUGAUGAUUGAGGUUUCUCUUUCCUUCCGAUUUGUGCCCAAUAAAGCGUGUGGAUUGUUGGACUAUAUGGAGGGUCUGCUUUCCCUUCGGCUAGCCACCGGUAAAGUGUGGCACUUUGAGGUGUGGAGUUUGUUGUCUCGUUCAAGAAUUCAAGGAGUUAGGUUACUGAUGAUUCGAGAUUUGUUACUCACUGGUGAAAAUGCCAAUGUGUUAUUACUCUCUUUAUUAUAAUUAUUGCAUUUUUGAAAUUCUCAAUGUAAGCCUAAGGGCAUAUUUUGUAAUGAUCCGUACUAAACUUGUACCAUUGUAUUUAUGCGAGAGGGAACCUUGAAUAUCCUAUGUA
Non-coding RNA from Camellia sinensis, 1828 nucleotides. Lineage: Eukaryota; Viridiplantae; Streptophyta; Magnoliopsida; Ericales; Theaceae. The record is from RefSeq and is a predicted model, not a curated record.